GAUGAACGCUGGCGGCGUGCCUAAUACAUGCAAGUCGAACGCUUCACUUCGGUGAAGAGUGGCGAACGGGUGAGUAAUACAUAAGUAACCUGGCAUCUACAGGGGGAUAACUGAUGGAAACGUCAGCUAAGACCGCAUAGGUGUAGAGAUCGCAUGAACUCUAUAUGAAAAGUGCUACGGGACUGGUAGAUGAUGGACUUAUGGCGCAUUAGCUUGUUGGUAGGGUAACGGCCUACCAAGGCGACGAUGCGUAGCCGACCUGAGAGGGUGACCGGCCACACUGGAACUGAGACACGGCCCAGACUCCUACGGGAGGCAGCAGUAGGGAAUUUUCGGCAAUGGGGGAAACCCUGACCGAGCAACGCCGCGUGAAGGAAGAAGUAAUUCGUUAUGUAAACUUCUGUCAUAGAGGAAGAACAGUAGAUAUAGGGAAUGAUAUCCAAGUGACGGUACUCUAUAAGAAAGCCACGGCUAACUACGUG
This 482-nucleotide ribosomal RNA is filed under the name uncultured bacterium. Its description in RNAcentral is "partial 16S ribosomal RNA". It matches the Rfam family "Bacterial small subunit ribosomal RNA", at positions 28 to 507 of the family's 1533-position model. The record is from RNAcentral.